CGGACGGGUGAGUAAUGUCUGGGAAACGGCCCGGUGGAGGGGGAUAACUACUGGAAACAGUAGCUAAUACCGCAUAACGUCGCAAGACCAAAGAGGGGGACCUUAGGGCCUCUUGCCAUCGGAUGUGCCCAGAUGGGAUUAGCUAGUAGGUGGGGUAACGGCUCACCUAGGCGACGAUCCCUAGCUGGUCUGAGAGGAUGACCAGCCACACUGGAACUGAGACACGGUCCAG
RNAcentral lists this ribosomal RNA (232 nucleotides) under uncultured bacterium. RNAcentral's name for it is "partial 16S ribosomal RNA". It matches the Rfam family "Bacterial small subunit ribosomal RNA", at positions 99 to 334 of the family's 1533-position model. The record is from RNAcentral.